GACUAGAUAACAUAGAUGGUAAUGUAUUAGAUUGCAAAUCUAAGAAGAAGUGUUCAAUUCACUUUCUAGUCU
Molecule: transfer RNA, 72 nt
Organism: Conidiobolus coronatus NRRL 28638
Lineage: Eukaryota; Fungi; Entomophthoromycota; Entomophthoromycetes; Entomophthorales; Conidiobolaceae
Rfam family: tRNA
About the family: Transfer RNA (tRNA) molecules are approximately 80 nucleotides in length. Their secondary structure includes four short double-helical elements and three loops (D, anti-codon, and T loops).
Source: Rfam